Molecule: ribosomal RNA, 252 nt
Filed under: uncultured bacterium
Lineage: Bacteria
Description: partial 16S ribosomal RNA
Rfam family: Bacterial small subunit ribosomal RNA
Source: RNAcentral
UACGUAGGGUGCAAGCGUUGUCCGGAAUUAUUGGGCGUAAAGAGCUCGUAGGCGGUCUGUCGCGUCUGCUGUGAAAACCUAGGGCUUAACUCGGGCGUGCAGUGGGUACGGGCAGGCUAGAGUGCGGUAGGGGAGACUGGAAUUCCUGGUGUAGCGGUGAAAUGCGCAGAUAUCAGGAGGAACACCGGUGGCGAAGGCGGGUCUCUGGGCCGUAACUGACGCUGAGGAGCGAAAGCAUGGGGAGCGAACAGG